RNAcentral lists this ribosomal RNA (571 nucleotides) under Campylobacter coli. RNAcentral's name for it is "partial 23S ribosomal RNA". It matches the Rfam family "Bacterial large subunit ribosomal RNA", at positions 614 to 1189 of the family's 2925-position model. Lineage: Bacteria; Pseudomonadati; Campylobacterota; Epsilonproteobacteria; Campylobacterales; Campylobacteraceae. The record is from RNAcentral.
AAUGAGCCUGCGAGUUGUGGUGUCUGGCAAGGUUAAGCAAACGCGAAGCCGUAGCGAAAGCGAGUCUGAAUAGGGCGCUUAGUCAGAUGCUGCAGACCCGAAACGAAGUGAUCUAUCCAUGAGCAAGUUGAAGCUAGUGUAAGAACUAGUGGAGGACUGAACCCAUAGGCGUUGAAAAGCCCCGGGAUGACUUGUGGAUAGGGGUGAAAGGCCAAUCAAACUUCGUGAUAGCUGGUUCUCUCCGAAAUAUAUUUAGGUAUAGCGUUGUGUCGUAAUAUAAGGGGGUAGAGCACUGAAUGGGCUAGGGCAUACACCAAUGUACCAAACCCUAUCAAACUCCGAAUACCUUAUAUGUAAUCACAGCAGUCAGGCGGCGAGUGAUAAAAUCCGUCGUCAAGAGGGAAACAACCCAGACUACCAGCUAAGGUCCCUAAAUCUUACUUAAGUGGAAAACGAUGUGAAGUUACUUAAACAACCAGGAGGUUGGCUUAGAAGCAGCCAUCCUUUAAAGAAAGCGUAAUAGCUCACUGGUCUAGUGAUUUUGCGCGGAAAAUAUAACGGGGCUAAAGUA